Molecule: non-coding RNA, 333 nt
Filed under: Pan troglodytes (chimpanzee)
Lineage: Eukaryota; Metazoa; Chordata; Mammalia; Primates; Hominidae
Source: RNAcentral
UUGCUAGCAGUGAAAGCUCAGAGUUAUGACAUAACAGCACCCUGUCUCAGCACUCUCCCAACUUUGUCCCCAGGCAGUGAGUGCUUCAUGGCCAGAGAGAGAUAGGACUGAACCCUCGUACCUUCAAACAUAUCUAAAUCUCUGGUGCAGUUCAGAGUGGUUGAUCAUACUGUAAAACUCAAAUGUGAAGGGAAGGCUGGAACCUACUGGAAACUGAAUGAAGAUCUAACGAAAAGAAGGAACUUUUAGGAACUAGCAGAGACUUCAAAAUGUUGAGAACUCUCUUUUUUCAUAAGAGAAGAUAAAAACUCUGAUGGUCACACUCAUAAAGAC